UUGGGUGACCAUCUGUCCUGGUUUGCCUGGGACUGAGGGGUUUCCUGGACACAGGAUUUUCAGUGUUCAA
RNAcentral lists this microRNA precursor (70 nucleotides) under Loxodonta africana (African savanna elephant). Its description in RNAcentral is "miRNA (ENSLAFG00000032070.1)". The record is from RNAcentral. Lineage: Eukaryota; Metazoa; Chordata; Mammalia; Proboscidea; Elephantidae.